RNAcentral lists this ribosomal RNA (501 nucleotides) under uncultured bacterium. RNAcentral describes it as "partial 16S ribosomal RNA". It matches the Rfam family "Bacterial small subunit ribosomal RNA", at positions 29 to 523 of the family's 1533-position model. The record is from RNAcentral.
AUUGAACGCUGGCGGCAUGCCUUACACAUGCAAGUCGAACGGCAGCACGGGUGCUUGCACCUGGUGGCGAGUGGCGAACGGGUGAGUAAUACAUCGGAACGUACCUUAUCGUGGGGGAUAACGCAGCGAAAGCUGUGCUAAUACCGCAUACGCCCUGAGGGGGAAAGCGGGGGAUCGCAAGACCUCGCGCGAUUAGAGCGGCCGAUGCCUGAUUAGCUUGUUGGUGGGGUAAAAGUCCACCAAGGCGACGAUCAGUAGCUGGUCUGAGAGGACGAUCAGCCACACUGGGACUGAGACACGGCCCAGACUCCUACGGGAGGCAGCAGUGGGGAAUUUUGGACAAUGGGGGCAACCCUGAUCCAGCAAUGCCGCGUGAGUGAAGAAGGCCUUCGGGUUGUAAGGCUCUUUUGUCAGGGAAGAAACACCGGCUCUAACACAGUCCGGGAAUGACGGUACCUGGAGAAUAAGCACCGGCUAACUACGUGCCAGCCGCCGCCGUAA